CUUUCGCGACGACGAAGCUCUCAUGCGAACUUUUUUGUUAUCUUUUUAUCUUUCUUGUUCUUUUUUUUUUUUUUUUUCACUUCCUCAGUCCUCAGCACGAGCAAGUAAGUAUGAAAUCGCGAUGUAGAUCUCUCUGUCAUCGUCCCUUUUUCGCCUGAUGAGCUCGGGUUCUGCUCUGAUGGCGAUUACAGAAGAGUAUUUCGUUUUCUGCUGUUCUUUCUCUCGAAAUCGCGAUAGGGUUUUGCCUGGAAGAUAAUCCCUAUGAUGAUUGAGUUUUUCGGCAUAAAAGUAGUGGACUGACUUUUAUCUGAUGAAUCUAAGCUCCGAGGGAUGCAUUUUGUUGCUUGAUUGCUUCGAUUUUGAUUGCACUUGAAGGUUUUCAGUUGCAAAAGCUUAUUUUGUUACUGUUUUACUGUCCAGAUCUCCCAUGUUAUACUCAUUCCUAUCUGGAUCAUGCAUCCCCUAUGAGGACUGUUGAAAUUAAAGUAGUGGACUGACCACUCUUGAUGAUCAAAGUCGUUCCUGAGGAGAUAUUGCUUGUGAUAUUAUGGUCCUCAGUGUUGUUGUUCUCGUCCUUUUGGUCACCGCAUUUGGUUUUCCUUCUUAAUGAUCGAAUUGCUCAACAUUCCUUUUAGAUGUCCAAGGCCACAAGGUUUUUUCGCAUCCCCAUGAUGGAUGUUGAUAGGACUGAAAUUUCCCUGACGAAUUUUUGGUCUGAGGGAUGUGGCUUUGGAUGAUACAUUCGGGUUCUUUUGACUACUUGUUCGUGGUUAAGGAUCCUAUUUACACCUCAUUUGUCCUUCUCUGUUGCCAAGUGAGCUGGACUUGGUUUUUUUCGCUUUAAGCUCUUGCAAGGGUACUUUCAUUUUUAGAGCCUGCUUAUUUAGAUGAAUCUUUUCCGUCCUUUCUUUUGUUAAAUUAAUCCCAGUUCGAGCCAAACAUUCCCCAUAUGCAAGUUUGAGUUGUUUCCAAUGCUUUCUAUAUUAAUGUUUAGAGGCUGCAAUCAGCUGGAUCUUGAUGAGUAUUUGCGUAAACCAUUAUUCAUAUUCCUUUUUCUGAGGCUCUUCAACAAGUAUUGUGCUCACAUCGAUCCUCAUGGCAUUUCUUGUUUUUUCCAUGACUUCGUUGCUUGAUCUGACCUGACUUGUGCAGAUUGGCAUCUUUGUCUCUUGUUGAACAUGGAGAACGUAAUGAUGCUGCAAAGAGGUUCUCUCCUUUCUUUCCUUUUCUCGAUAGAUGGUGAUACCAGUUGAAUGUUAGUCAUGUUAUAUUGAUUCUGGUGAUCUUAUUUGGCAACAGCAGGUCGGCUGGCUCAAAGUUCCUUUAAUUGUUCAUUGGCCAUGUUCUUGGGUUGCGUUGUUAUGAGGUGAUUAUUAGUAGGACUCCAAACAUAGCAUUCUGCAGGAAUUGUCACUUCAAGCUGAAUGAAGCCUAAUUUAUUUCAGCUGCCAUCCACUUUACAGACAAGAAGUUUCAGUUUGAUAAACUAGAAAAUUUAAGAUAUCGCAUUUUGCAAUGUCUUCCGUUGAUGAUUUGAGCAAUAGUUUUGUUCCUUUGAUUGAAGAAUCUUGUGAAUGAUACAUACUAUGCAUUUGAAUUGAUUGACCCAGGUGAUUAAAAUUGUAAACAGCAGUCCAAUACUUAUGUAUUAA
Long non-coding RNA from Rhodamnia argentea, 1652 nucleotides. RefSeq lists it as uncharacterized. Lineage: Eukaryota; Viridiplantae; Streptophyta; Magnoliopsida; Myrtales; Myrtaceae. The transcript has 2 exons. The record is from RefSeq and is a predicted model, not a curated record.